AGAAAUUAAAUUGGAUUAAAGUAAUUAUGUAAUUAGCUCAAAUGAUUACAAUUUAACAAAAACUACCUAAAUAACAAUUAAUAAUUUUAAUUAAAAUAAAUAAAUAAAUAUAAAUAAAAAGCUAGUAACUAGGGGAUGUGUAUUUGUAACUAUGGGUGAAAAACAUGUAAAUGGUAAAGGCCCAAUAUCACAAAAUAAACCCUAACCCUACCAAAUAAUUGAUGACAAGUGGCCACAAUUUUUUUUAAAAAAAAAAAUUAAAAGUAAAUAAAUCUGCACUUACCUCUUC
This 289-nucleotide long non-coding RNA is filed under the name Lathyrus oleraceus (garden pea). Its description in RNAcentral is "Pisum sativum (pea) long non-coding RNA (PSAT_LNC004254)". Lineage: Eukaryota; Viridiplantae; Streptophyta; Magnoliopsida; Fabales; Fabaceae. The record is from RNAcentral.